Molecule: ribosomal RNA, 163 nt
Filed under: Olea europaea subsp. maroccana
Lineage: Eukaryota; Viridiplantae; Streptophyta; Magnoliopsida; Lamiales; Oleaceae
Description: 5.8S ribosomal RNA
Rfam family: 5.8S ribosomal RNA
About the family: 5.8S ribosomal RNA (5.8S rRNA) is a component of the large subunit of the eukaryotic ribosome. It is transcribed by RNA polymerase I as part of the 45S precursor that also contains 18S and 28S rRNA.
Source: RNAcentral
AAACGACUCUCGGCAACGGAUAUCUCGGCUCUCGCAUCGAUGAAGAACGCAGCAAAAUGCGAUACUUGGUGUGAAUUGCAGAAUCCCGUGAACCAUCGAGUUUUUGAACGCAAGUUGCGCCCGAGGCCAUCGUGCCGAGGGCACGUCUGCCUGGGCGUCACGC